CAGCAGCAGGGCAGCGCUGGGAAGGGGUCAUCUCCGCAACCUGUGAGCCGGAGAGUUGUGCAAAUGGAAAAAGAAAACCUCGGCCUUCACCCCUGUGCCAAGUCUGGUCACGGAGUUUGUAGGAAUCGUGGAUCAAGGAACUCGUGUUCCAGGGCAGGGAACAUUGCCUUUCGUCACCAAUAACGAUCAUUCAGGUAUAACAAAUGUAAAAUCAGAGCUGGUUAAACGCACUGGUUCUGUUGCAACCAGUAUGUGAUGCAGGGUGGCAAAUCCUUCUCUCAUUUAAGGCCCCAGUGCUCCACGGGCCGGUUCUCAUUCUCCCGGCUGAAGCUAUGCGUCCUCCUCCCUGAACUCUCCCCCCUCCGUCUCCUCCUCCCUUCUCCUUACAGCCUGUACCUCGUUGUUGGUACCUGGCUUAACUCUGCCACUUCUCUGAAAGGUCUUUAAAUUUGGAGACGCAGUAAUACCCAUCUCCAUACUUGCUCUCUAGUAUCGUGGAGUCAUAGGUACAACUUUGUGCUCUAAAUGUUUGUCACAAGGAUGGCACUUUGAAAUAAGAAGAGUGUCACAAAUCUUGUUAACCUCUCCCUUCCUUGCAUAGAUGAGAGCCUUGGCGAAGGGUGGCUCGCUCCAUGGUAACCAGGGAUUGUAGUGAUGAAGUUACCGGGCGUCUGGGCGGCGUCGCGGUGGCACCUCAGGGCCUGCAGACAUCGUGCCCGGCUCCGCGAACCGACAGCGCCCUCUGGCGGACGCGAGCGUGCCCAGCCCAGUUCCUCCGGCGCCCUGACCGCCUCUACUUCCUCUGAGUCCACGGACUGGGGCUCCCAACGCUAGGAGCAGUAGGAUUACUGAACAAGCUGAGGGGAUAGGUUAAGGAGCAGACCACAUGGCAAGGGGCCACUGGCUUUAUCCAUAUGCCCAUCAGAAGCAGGGGACAGAUGUAGUCAGCGAGCACCUGCUCUAUCAAAAUACUAUGCUCUUUUUUUUUUUUUUAAUUAACUACGGGGGUUGUAGCCAACGAACACAUCGAGAAAGAGAAAAGAUCAUGAAGGAUCUUGGAGCCUGAAAGGUAUUUAUGGGCCAGGUUACCCACAUCCCAGUAGCUAUGACUUAGUUACAUGGCCACAUGUAACUGCAAGGGAGGCUGGGAAACAGUCUAGUCAAGUGCCAGGAAGAAGAGAAGAGCACAGCUUUUUGGUGAGCAGAGAGCUAUGUCUCCCACUUGGUCCUUUCCCCCAGUGCUGGAGAUUAGGACGAUCCAUUUGGGUUAGCUAACCCUCAGUGCAAAAUUGAUCCAUUCUUCUUUUGCCUCAUUCUUUCCCUAUCUUAUGUGUUAAAAAGAGCCAGAAAGACUCUACAGUUGUGGAAAGAGAUGCAGGUGCAGGUGUGGGCAAACAUAAAGGUGAUGAAACAGGAGAAAGAGCAGUGUGCUAGGCUACAGUCGUCUUCCAGCUCCUCCCUCUCCUUGCCCAUUAACCGGCCAAGGUGCUCUCACCUUUGGUGCCAGUUGUGGUGUGGUGGGAGACAUCGCCUAUUGUUUCCUGGGGGGAGGAUCCACUCUCAAUCCCUGCAAGUGAACUUGAUCAAGGUCUUCCUUUCCUCCAGGUGAACUCGGAGAUGCUGCAGCGCAGCGUCGGGUGGAAGUGUCAGAUGGAGAGUGACUUACUAGGCACCAACUUCAGAUGUAAUACUAUUCUGUACUUUGAAAUUUCAAGGAAGCUUUUAUAUCUAUCCCUCUUUGAUUACUCCCUUCUCAACCACAAGUUCAGGGCAAAUAUCAUUAUCUCCAUUUUACAGAUGAGGGUCACUGGGAUUCAGAGAAGGUAAGGGACUCAAGUGCACAGGAUGAGAGCCCAGAGCAGCACCUGGUUCCCUAGACAGGGCCUCCCUCCCAUGCUCACCCUUCCCCCUUUUAUCUGUGUCUGAUCAGGGCACUAGUGGGUGGCUGUUCUACAAUUUCCCUGGAAACUAAGUCUCCAGGGAGGCCUCAUUGCCCUGCAAGGCAAAGGCUGCUGCUCCAGUGGGCGGGUUGCGUGGAGACACUGGCCCAGACGGGAGAGCAGGCCGUCCCACCCCUCCUCAGCUGCUGCCGCCCACCUGGCCUGGGCGGUGAGGACGUUAAUGAAGGAGGGCUGGCUGGGGCACGCUGCAUCUGGUCCAGCAGGCACUGCACUGGGCCGCACCAAGCGGCAAAACAGAUGCUCAGAACACAACCUUUGCCGUCUGAGGAACAUAGAGCUCCUGGCACCCUGCUCAUUGCUUUUCUUGGGGGUGGGGUGGGCACUCACUUACCCCCCUCUGCGUGAGGGUAGCUGCCGGUCAAGUUCUUAUCUCACUGAAGGAUUUUCUUUUAAAAGUCAACCUUUGUCCACUUCUCUCCUUUCCCCUCCCCUGUCUUUUCUUUCUCUGAACCUGUUGCACUUCUGUUGUUAACUUCUAACAAAGGGAGCUUUUCUGGAUUGUUUUAUUCUUGCAGAUGCAAACAAGCUAACCAGGAGAGCCAAGCCAGGUCCAGCUGAUGCCGGCCUGUGUAGGUGGGGUGCAGGAACCAACCAUUGGAAGCCCUAUUCUGGGACUUGACAUUUCCCAGAGAGCUUGGAAAAAUCAGGGAAGCCCUGCCCAGGACUAGGUCCCGUUAACCUCGAGUGUGUGGUCACUCAGGGCCCUGCAUGGUGGGAGGGUCCCGGUGCCUGGAGUCUAGUGAAGGAAGGAGAAAGGGUAUUUUCCUCCUCACUCCCUGAAAACCAUGCCAGCUCCUUUUCCUGACCUGAGCCCUGCACCCCUUAUCCUGUUUGGCUCAGCUUAGAUGGCAUUUCUUCCAAGAGAAAUGCUCCCCCAUCAGCCCUGAGUACUAGUCUACCUGUUGGUUUCCUCCAAAGGCAGAACUACAGCAAAGCUAAUAUGGCCUAAAUUUUAGGGCCCCUCCCUUGCUCCUUCCAAGGCCCUGUUCCUAAUUUUAUAUUUCUAAUUUUGUAUUCUUUUUCCUAAAGAGGGCUUUUCACAUUGUUUAAGCUUCAGGCCACAUGAAACCCGGGUCUACCUGUGGUCUUUCCCAUUACUCUGCAAACCCCCUGAUUCAGGGACUGUGUCAGAUUCCCUGGGGUAUUCCUAGGUCCAGGGCAAGGCAAGGCUCUCAAUCGAGGUUUGUUAAAUGAAAAGAACGAAAGGAAGAAAAUAUCCUUAGCUAGUGCUUAGCUGACCAGUGGUUCUCAUUGGAACCCUCAGCACUGUCACCUGGGUGCUCUGGACAGGCUGACCUGGGACUUCAGGACAGUGCAGUGCAGGGUGGAGGCCAGGUGGGAAGCUCAGGGACUUAGUUCUAGGAUCUUGGGCAAACUCCUACCUCUCAGUGGGCCCUGGUUAAUUCAAAUGCAGGGGGUUUGUAACAACUGCCUUACAGGAUAACAAUGGGCCUUGUGUUACAGAUGGUGCAGUACCUGACACUGAGUAGGUCUCAGGAAGUUCCUUUCUAUACUCACUCCCUGAGGAACGCUUUGUUUGUAAUCCUUUUUAUCUCUAGCGCUGAAGGCACCCUCAAGAUUACCCUUAGGGCAUUUUAACCAGGUGGCUCCUGGAUAGUGGGGUUUAGGUCCAGGCACACAAAAGGAUUGGCUCUGGACCCAGUACCCCACUGAGGAUGGCCCUGAGACCAAGUCUGGGGUCCCCCCCCCCAUACCCAGUUCCUUCCUACAUUAAGAUAGAGGGCUUCAGGAAAAAUUCAGGGAACUCGAAUACAAAUAUAAAUAAUAAGGGAACAAAUCAUGUGGCUUACCAGCUUCCGCUUGCAGCUGUGGUUGGCUUUUCCAGCUAUUUGACCGAACUGGAGCCCUCAAUGGUUGUAAAGUAGUCAUUUACCUCUGUCUCUCAGAGAAGAAACUGAGACUGAUGUGGUGUCAAACCACCUGCCUCACUAAGCCCCAGGGUUGGCGGGCGGCAGACCCGGAACCGCAGGCCAGGUCCAGGCCCUUGCCACCCUGGCUGGACACGGCCUCCUGCCCCCUGUCCCUCAGCGCAGGAUUGACACACACACCGCUCAAUUCUUUCAAGUUUCCACAUGGACUCCCUCAUCUCGUGGGAACCAGGGCACCUGCCAGUGUAAGAACCGACCUUGCCAGCCCAGCACAGAGCUUGUCUUUGUGGUUUCUUCUCUAACAAGAAUGGAGAAGUGGUCAAUGUUUCUCACGUUUUCCUCUGGUGACGUCCACACAGUCUGUGUUUGCAUGUGCCAGAGCUUGAAAAUUCAACAGCUCGGUGGGGAGGGUGGCAGAAGGCAGAGCUGGGGGGAUGGGAAUUUACCAUUUACUGCAACAUGAGUUCUGCUAUUCACUUUUUACGUAGGAAGAGUAGUAGCAGUAACAAUAACAAUCAAUAAAAGGACAAAAUACAUGAAGCAGUGAUUUUUUUUUUUUCAAGAUGCUGGGUGUCAGGCAACAAUGAACAGUGAUCCCUCUGAACUGGGAAACAAACCAGCCUCCUGCACUUCAGAAGUUUCAGGACAUCACAUGCAGAAGUGCCAAAUGCUUUUUUGAGUCUUCCAGCCAAGUGCCCCCAACUAGGUAUGUUCCAUGUGGUAGAGCAUUGUGCAGGGCCAGCUCUACAGCUUGUCAGAAGAGGGUCAGCUCACAGGGAGUGUGGACGUUGGUGGUUACCUUCCAAUUGCGAACCAGCAACCCUACUUCCUCGUUGAGGUUGUUUUGUUCUGCUAUUGAUGCAAGGUUAUGUUUUUCUCAGAGGCUGGGUCCUCCCCACUUCUCCAGCCCCAGGGGUGAGUUCCUGAUCAGUCUAAGGCUCUAAGCCAAUCCCAGGAAGUAUUAGGCAUGCCCCUUGCCUGUGAUUAGUUUAGGAAUGAGUGUAUGAUAGAAAACUAUACAGUGAGAAGUGGGAGUGAGGAGUCUUCUGGGGCACUUUCUGAGGAGAAAUUGAUGAAAAGAAACAGUUCCUUAUAGUGCCUGAAAUAUCACUAUUAGUGAUUAUUUUUCCUUUUGAAUUAAUUAUUGUCCUUUUCUUUUAGAUUAAUAUAUUUAUAACACAAAUAGCUCUGGAAGGAGUAAUACUUGGACUCACAUGGUUGUGAAUUAGUUGGUCAGCUCUCUAAAAGGAUUUAGGUGGUAUAGUGGGUUGCAUGGUGGUCCCCCAAAGAUAAGUCUACACCCUAAUCUCUGGAACCUAAUUCUUGGAACUGUGAUAGUUACCUUAUUUGGGAGACAUGGUCUUUGCAGAUGUAAUUAAGUUAAAGAUCUGGAGAUAAGGAGAUAUCCUGGAUUAUCUGGGUAGACUCUAAAGCCAAUGACAAGGUAUCCUUAUAUGAGGGAAGCAGAGGAGAUUCACAGACACAGAGGAGAAGGCGAUGUGAAGACAGAGGCAAAGACUGGAGUGAUGAAGCCACAAGCCAAGGAGACCAAAGAACGCUGACAGCCCCCAGAAGCUGGAAGAGCAAAGAACACUGGAACAUCUCCCCUGGAAAUCUGGACUCCACAAAGACUCUCUCAUCCAUGGGUGAUUGUCUAAGACAGUGUUUUCCAGGAGCUCUCCAUCUACGGUCAAGAAGAGUUGGAGC
This is a long non-coding RNA of Camelus dromedarius (Arabian camel), 5557 nucleotides long. RefSeq lists it as uncharacterized. The record is from RefSeq and is a predicted model, not a curated record. The transcript has 4 exons. Lineage: Eukaryota; Metazoa; Chordata; Mammalia; Artiodactyla; Camelidae.